Molecule: ribosomal RNA, 236 nt
Filed under: uncultured bacterium
Lineage: Bacteria
Description: partial 16S ribosomal RNA
Rfam family: Bacterial small subunit ribosomal RNA
Source: RNAcentral
ACGGGUGAGUAACACGUAUGCAAUCCACCUGUAACAGGGGGAUAACCCGGAGAAAUCCGGACUAAUACCCCAUAAUAUGGGCGCUCCGCAUGGAGAGCCCAUUAAAGAGAGCAAUUUUGGUUACAGACGAGCAUGCGCUCCAUUAGCCAGUUGGCGGGGUAACGGCCCACCAAAGCGACGAUGGAUAGGGGUUCUGAGAGGAAGGUCCCCCACAUUGGAACUGAGACACGGUCCAA